GAUGAACGCUGGCGGCGUGCCUAAUACAUGCAAGUCGAGCGAACGGACGAGAAGCUUGCUUUUCUGAUGUUAGCGGCGGACGGGUGAGUAACACGUGGAUAACCUACCUAUAAGACUGGUAUAACUUCGGGAAACCGGAGCUAAUACCGUAUAAUAUUUUGAACCGCAUUGUUCAAAAGUGAAAGACGGUCUUGCUGUCACUUAUAGAUGGUUCCGCGCUGCAUUAGCUAGUUGUUAAGGUAACGGCUUACCAAGGCAACGAUGCAUAGCCGACCUGAGAGGGUGAUAGGCCACACUGGAACUGAGACACGGUCCAGACUCCUACGGGAGGCAGCAGUAGGGAAUCUUCCGCAAUGGGCGAAAGCCUGACGGAGCAACGCCGCGUGAGUGAUGAAGGUCUUCGGAUCGUAAAACUCUGUUAUUAGGGAAGAACAUAUGUGUAAGUAACUGUGCACAUCUUGACGGUACCUAAUCAGAAAGCCACGGCUAACUACGUG
RNAcentral lists this ribosomal RNA (497 nucleotides) under uncultured bacterium. Its description in RNAcentral is "partial 16S ribosomal RNA". It matches the Rfam family "Bacterial small subunit ribosomal RNA", at positions 28 to 507 of the family's 1533-position model. The record is from RNAcentral.